This 600-nucleotide ribosomal RNA is filed under the name Corynebacterium striatum. RNAcentral's name for it is "partial 23S ribosomal RNA". It matches the Rfam family "Bacterial large subunit ribosomal RNA", at positions 1 to 561 of the family's 2925-position model. Lineage: Bacteria; Bacillati; Actinomycetota; Actinomycetes; Mycobacteriales; Corynebacteriaceae. The record is from RNAcentral.
UGUUCGUUAUUUAGGGCGCAUGGUGGAUGCCUUGGCAUGCUGAGCCGAUGAAGGACGUGAAAGGCUGCGUUAAGCCUCGGGGAGUUGUCAAUUGAGCGUUGAUCCGAGGAUGUCCGAAUGGGGAAACCUGGCACCUGUUAUGGGGUGUUACCCUUCAGUGAAUUCAUAGCUGUUGUGGGGGUUACGCGGGGAAGUGAAACAUCUCAGUACCCGUAGGAGAAGAAAAUAAUAAUGAUUCUGCUAGUAGUGGCGAACGAACGUGGAUGAGGCUAAACCGUGUGCAUGUGAUACCUGGUAGGGGUUGUGUGUGCGGUGUUGUGGGCCCUGAUGAGGAUGGCUACUGACGUCCUGCCCGCGCAUUGUUGUUAGGUGAAGUGGUGUGGAAACGCCUGCCGUAGAAGGUGAUAGUCCUGUAGCUGAAGAUGAUGGUGUGUGGGUUGUUGGGUUGCCCGAGUAGCAGCGGGCUCGUGGAAUCUGCUGUGAAUCUGCCGGGACCACCCGGUAAGCCUAAAUACUCAGUGUGACCGAUAGUGGAUAGUACCGUGAGGGAAUGGUGAAAAGUACCCCGGGAGGGGAGUGAAAUAGUUCCUGAAACCAUGU